This 411-nucleotide ribosomal RNA is filed under the name uncultured bacterium. RNAcentral's name for it is "bacterial SSU rRNA". It matches the Rfam family "Bacterial small subunit ribosomal RNA", at positions 355 to 794 of the family's 1533-position model. The record is from RNAcentral.
UAGGGAAUCUUCCGCAAUGGACGAAAGUCUGACGGAGCAAUGCCGCGUGAGUGAAGAAGGUUUUCGGAUCGUAAAACUCUGUUGUUAGAGAAGCGGUAUCUAACCAGAAAGCCACGGCUAACUACGUGCCAGCAGCCGCGGUAAUACGUAGGUGGCAAGCGUUGUCCGGAUUUAUUGGGCGUAAAGCGAGCGCAGGCGUUCUUUAAGUCUGAUGUGAAAGCCCCCGGCUCAACCGGGGAGGGUCUGGAAACUGGAGAACUUGAGUGCAGAGAGGAGAGUGGAAUUCCACGUGUAGCGGUGAAAUGCGUAGAUAUGUGGAGGAACACCAGUGGCGAAGGCGACUCUCUGGUCUGUAACUGACGCUGAGGCUCGAAAGCGUGGGGAGCAAACAGGAUUAGAUACCCUUGUAGU